RNAcentral lists this long non-coding RNA (1305 nucleotides) under Capra hircus (goat). RNAcentral's name for it is "lncRNA (ENSCHIG00000000852.1)". The record is from RNAcentral. Lineage: Eukaryota; Metazoa; Chordata; Mammalia; Artiodactyla; Bovidae.
ACACAGGUUAUCUCAUUGUCAAUAAAAUAUAGACAUUCAGUUCUUACCUGCUUAACUGCAUGAUGAUAAAUCUAAAUGGCACGCAAAAGAAAAAAAGUCCCCCAAAUCUGAUCAUUUGUCUUCGAAGCGGCUGUGACAGUUUUAGACACUGGUGCUUUCUUCUUAGCUUAUAUUUGACUGGCUGGACUAUUUGUAAGCAAUAGUAGGGUUAUUUCGCAACACCAGUCACCUCUUCGCCUUUUCAAGCCUCGGGUGGGCAUUUCACACAGCUGGAAACAUGCAUGUUAUCCUCGGAGGUAACAGCCUCCCCAGCGUUUCCUAGUCGGAUUCCCCUCCAAGGGAGGUCUCUGCCCCUAAAGGGCUGCUCACGUUCCUGACCUGGUUGGUGCAAAGGAGAAGGCUCUCUGGGCUCAACUCUUGGGGACUAGGAAAACAGCCAUCGGAGACUUCAACUCUCAGCCACCGUUCAGCUGCAGAUCCAGCUUCUCUAGCGGCCGGGAAGCACCACCCCCUCUCGGGUGGAUGCCGAAGGGGAGCGCGCCCAGCCUGGACCCUCCUACCUCGCGCCCCACCUCCAGGAAAGGGGGACCGAAACAGAAAAUCCUAACUCUCAAGUGAGGGUAAUAAUAGAAGCUGAAAGACUCCCAAUCCCUACGGUUUGCUUUACACUUCCAUUCCAACCUCUGGCUCCAAGUUGACAUCCAACUCCUUUCCUCCACCCCUCCCGCCCGCCAGAUCCCUGCGAGUUGUUGAAGCAGGAGAGGGUGUGACGGUCAGCUACACUUUCCCACAGAGCCCAAGAAGUCAGCUAGCUCUUCUAAACCCAGCUAAGCGGACGGAUGCAGACGGCGACUUUUUUUUUUUUUUUUUUUUUUGAGGCAGGCAUGCUGGAGAGCAGUCAAGUCUUAAUCUUAGUCACAGCUCAUCAAAAAUAAUAAUAAAAAAUAAAUAGAAACGCAGAUGGGAGCGGAUGAGGAAUUCUCAUACCAAAUGUGGCCUCUCGCACAGAAAAGCGGUUUUGCUCAAAACCGGCGGGAGGAAGGCUGGCAAUGGAGCGGGAACAGUCCUCCAAAGAGAAUGUUUGAAUUGGUGAAUUAUGCUAAGCCCUCGCUUCUUCAGCUGAAGUCUCGGACGCUGAUGGCACUUGUCUGGCAGAACGACCAGGAUGGGAAGGAGACCAGUAACGGAGGGAGAGUGAGUCAGAAAUGGUUUUGCUGCCGAAUGCAUUAUCUGGCCAUGUUCACAGCCCUGUACGGCACAAGCGAUCGCCUGAUCGAUCCGAAAUUAGAGGGAAAGGUAGAGUGA